UAUCUCCUGUGGCCUAGUAGUUAGAGCGUCCGCCUCAGACGCGGGAGGUCGCAGGUUCGAUCAUCGGCCGAGUUAC
This is a non-coding RNA of Potamilus streckersoni, 76 nucleotides long. Lineage: Eukaryota; Metazoa; Mollusca; Bivalvia; Unionida; Unionidae. The record is from the annotation of a GenBank genome assembly.